Molecule: long non-coding RNA, 1350 nt
Filed under: Elaeis guineensis (African oil palm)
Lineage: Eukaryota; Viridiplantae; Streptophyta; Magnoliopsida; Arecales; Arecaceae
Description: long non-coding RNA (EGUI_LNC075187)
Source: RNAcentral
GAUCGGUAAAGAACUCCACAGUGGCUCGUCUCUUCUUACCCAUCCAAGAAUCCCUUCUGGAGCAGAAGGGUGAAACCAUGAUGGUUUUCGAGGUCCGCAGGCCCCAGCUCGAGCGGCGGAACCCCGCGGCAUUCCGUCGGAUCCUCCUUCUGCUGCUAUUCUUCUCCCUCUUACUUUCGGUUCCGGUUUCCGUCCGCUGCUCUUCUUCUUCCACCAUGCACAACAACAACUGGGCCGUCUUGGUUUGCACCUCCCGAUUCUGGUAACCCACCUCUAUCUAUCUGGUGUUUCUUGAUUAUUUUUUUUUUCGUUUAUUUUCCCUUUUUUUUUCUUGAUUGUUGUGUAGUUUUAGAUUCCUCGUAUUUUGAAUGCUUCCUUUAUAUACUAAUGUCGAAUUAUUUGGCAUGGGGCAGGCUACCAACGAAGGCGUGAGUCUUGAUUUCAAUAGACAGUCUUCUUAGAUUUUGAUUUCCUUUGAAGAAAGCUCUAUACUAGUGAAUUACAAGGGAGGGCACGGGUUGAAUCUUGAUUUCAACGGGUAGUCUUGUUAGGUCUUUUUAUUCAGUGCCGUCUUUGGCGCUGCUCGAUAUUUGGCGGUUCAGAGAAGGCGGAAUCUUGAUCUCAGUCAUGGGCAAUAUCAUUAGGUAUCGAUUCCAGUGGAGGCGAUCUUGUCAUCUCCAUCCUUCAUCUAGACAACUUUCAAAUGUAGGGAGGUUCAGGCAGAUUACUCCUUCUUUCGACGGGUUCACUGUGAAAAAUAAGUUCCCAGUUUGCCAGCCAUCAUACUAGAUUUUUGGUGGGUUUGUUCUUGCUCAAAAUUUCCUUGGCGGUAAAUGCAUUGCAAAUUCUUAGAGGGUCGACGUUGGUUAGACAGCUAGUUGUUAAAAUAUGCUUAAUCUAUCCAUGGAACCUCUUUGAUUUAUAGUUACGCCCCAUAAUCAACCCAUUUUAAAUGAAAGAAUCUGGAAAAACUGUAGUAACAAUGAUUUUUGGGGAUCAAAGCAUAUUAGCGGUCUUCACUUAACUGACAGGAUAUAUAUUUUUGCCAGUGUCAUUUACUCUUCAUUGGUGACAACUAAGAACAAGAGGAAUUUGUGGAAAGAGAUGUGAGACAGUACAGGAGAUGGUGGCAAAAGAUAAACCUGGGACCACUGUUUUUCUGAGGGAGAUAUAACUUAUUUAGGAAAUUGCUGGUUUCUGCAUAUCAAGAAAGGAUAUUCCUAGGGUGUUAAUUUUUUUAUUAAUCUUUUUUCUGCAAACAAGAGUAAUAAGGAGGCGAGGUAGGCUUGUGGGGCCAGAAUCAAUAAGGGAUCACUCAGUUCUCAGAAAUUUAUUCGAAUGCAAAGGACA